UUCCAGAAAUACAUUUGUAAAAAAGGAUCUUUCUCCUUUUCUUAUUAUCUUAUUUUCCACAGAAAUACAUUUGUAAGAAAGGAUAAAGAUCCUUUUUUUUAUUUUCCACAUUAAAGAUUUAAGGAGCUCAAAAGCUCAAAACGUGCGUUACAUUAGCUACCUACCCGACGCCAUUUCGCAAGUGAUAAAAUAAAUUAUUCAAGAGCUCAAAGCAUUCGCUACAUCAGCUCGAACCUAUCUACCCUACACCUUUGCGCAAAUGAUUAUAUUAUGAUAGCAAAUGCCCAUAUACAGAUUUGGCAAUGGCAAUAGCAAUACGUUUCACAGUUAGUAUUCUAUAAAUUCUAUCCUGUCGAGAUGCCCCGUUAUUAAACGGAGCGACCGAUUGACAUGAUUUUCAUUUUUUCUAUAUUCAAUAAAAUAGGACAGAUAUAUGAACUACGCGGAGAGAAAUAUAGUAGAACCGAGUUUGAGCAAUCUUUUUAUUCAUAUUAGUUGAUGUUCACAAGUUGUUGCUGAGAGUCGAGAGCUCAUGUAGUCGUUGCCUAAGAGGCCUCCUAGCUAAAUAAAAUUACAAAUAACCACCCAGGCCUCUACACAACGCCCCCAUUUUCUUUCUGGGUCUCUUACCGCCCCCCUUGAUACCUGCAGCGCCCACAAGGGGGCGUUAUCGCUCACUUUGGGAAACACUGAUGUAAAUGAAGACUAACUACAGAAAUGAUACUGUGCAGUAUAUUCUUAAUUUUUCAAAGGCCAACGCAGAGUAUUUCAAGCAAAAGUCACACAAAAUAGUUGAAAAUUCGCAGACAUGAAAGACAAAUGAAGGAAAAAGAUGUAUAACUUCAAUAAUACACAAGCAUACAAACAUACAUAUGCGCAGCAGCAAGGAAAGAGAUUGGAGGAGUGACAUAUCCUAAUGUUGCAUUGGAGACUUUUGCCUUUAUUCAGCAAAAGCAUCGAAACAUCAUUGCCAACGUGUUCAAUUCAGCAUUUUCGCCAUUGAAAGCGGCACCGUUUGUUCAAUCGUGUUUGUCACCAGAUACUGAUAUUUCAUCAUUCUUUUAAAAAGGUUGGUUCAUUGUCGCGCGUGGUCGACUUCACCAAAAAUAUUACUUACAAAUUGAAAUAAUAAAAUAAUAGUUCUAUAAAAAAGAAAUUCAUUUUAAUUUUAUAAAAAAACAAAAAUUGUCGCUAACAUCUUAUUGUAUAACGACUUGACAAAAAAUAUAGUAAAAAAACUAUUACUGGCGCAGUCGGUUUAACUUGGGCGAGAAUAGAAAGUGCAAAAAUUUCAUUAAAAAAAUCUUACUUUUAAACGUGCAAAACACACAAAACUUUAAAUUAAAAAAAUAUAUGUAUAUUAAAAAUAAAAAAUAAGAUAAAAGUGUGAAGUACAAAAUGAAGAGUUCAACAUCGAUAGCAUUUAAAGAACGUAACAGGCGAACUCAAAUAUUGAAAUUAAUAACGUAAAAGUGGAACGUGAAGAUGUAGAAAUAAAAAAAAUAUCAUAAAGAACAAAACGAACAGUAUAACAACAAGAACGUAAAAGUGGAACGUCGAAAUGAAGAAAAAGAAGAAAUUAUCGUAACAAACAAAAUGAACUAUGUUACGAUGGAACAGUGGAACAAAAAUAUCACAAUACGUUAAAAAUAAAAAUAAAACAAAAUGAAAAAAA
Bactrocera neohumeralis is the source of this 1675-nucleotide long non-coding RNA. RefSeq lists it as uncharacterized. The record is from RefSeq and is a predicted model, not a curated record. The transcript has 2 exons. Lineage: Eukaryota; Metazoa; Arthropoda; Insecta; Diptera; Tephritidae.